CUGUAACAACUUAUAUAAAAAAUAUUCUUUGAAUUUUAACAUGCUAAAGCUUGGCAAUAGAGACCCUCAUAUGAAUCAACAAAUUAAAUCAAUCCCAUGCUCAAUCAAGAAGAGAAGUACAUUGGCAGUCUCACACUCAAUUUUAGAACAAAUGGCCAUAAUAAUUUACAUGUGAAAAUAAUCUUUUUUAUUGUAAACCAAGAACCUAUAUUAACCAUAUUCAUUCAACCUUCAACUGAAAAUCCAUUUGUAAAUGUCUAAACAAAACUACUACUGCAAAUGAGACCAUUUAACUUAAAAGUGAAGUCAUAAAACUACAUGGGUUCAAAAUUUAAUUCAUACUCUUUCACACAACCAAACAACGGAGGGCCAAGCGGAAUUAUAUCCUAAACUUUGGUAAGACUAAAGAUGCUUAACACAGUUUAAUUAACUAACAUAUAGUUAUAACAUUAUCCAACAUUCAAGAGCAUGUAAAAAUUUGGCUUUCAUUCCAACUUCAUUUUAGGAGUUUAUAUAGUCCGAAAGUUACCUGGACAACAAAAAGAAGAACAAAUACAGUAAAUUCAGCUCUCUCCAAAAUUAAAAAGUGGACAGCAAAACAGCGAAGCAGGAAAAACAGCAACAAACGGUAGAUUUCGAACCCAAGAAGAUCGACCAGAAAUACCAAGUAGUACAACACUUGAAACAAGUAGCUUAUUUGCUCUAGAAAUUGACUAGAAUCCCUCUAUUUCUUACAAGUUUUGCACUCAAAGAAACACUCACCAAGCUUAGAAUUUCAGCUUACUAUUGGAUAUGUAUUAAACAUUUUUUAAUUUCAGCUUUUAUCAGCACAAACUCAAAUACUCAAACCUAAUCCAAUCAUGAAAUUGACAAAGCAACAAAAAGACUUCAAUUGGAACUAAACUAAAUAUCCAAUGAACUAGAUUAAAUAAGUUUGAUUUAUGCAACUAACAGAAAUGACAAUUGAAAUUAGAAAACACAACUUAAACUUUAACUUAAAUGAACAUUGGUAAGCUAUCGAACAACAAUUAUAUCAACUUAAACAAACCACUAACCAAAUGACGAUUCAACUACACUUAACUAUCUCGAUCGAUAAACAAGUUGUUAAACAACUAGGUAAACAAAGAUGACUUAAAUAAUCAAUCAUGCUAACUUGAAACUCUAAUUAGCAGCGAUUGAUAAAAAACAGAAAUAAAAAUAAAAAUUAGGAACUAAACUACUGCUACUAAAUUAAAAAUUAAACAAAGGGAUGACGAUUAUACCUAACAUACACACUGGAUGCCAAAUCGAGCAACGAGGUGAACAUCGAGUACGAUUUUCUAAUUCGUGAAUCGUGACAGUAAUGUCAAAAGAUAGCCUCUAUUGAGCUCUGUCAUGUAUGUGAACAUUAGGGAGGGGAAGAUGACUCAAUCUUCACGAAUUUAAAGAAAAAAAGGCUGCUGGGGUUUCGAAUUAGGCCAAAUUCGUGGAGAUUGGUGACGAUUCUGAGGAUUUGAGUCACGGAUUUGGAAAGAGGAGGAAGAUGCGAGGAUAUGAUGAAAUUGUUUAGGGCAUUUGGACCACUGCCCUCGACGGCGGCUGAGAGAAAGGGGAGAGAAGAAAGGGGGCUAGGGUUUGAGUUAUGUGAAAAAUGGCCAAAAAUCUGAUUUAAAAGGCAUUAUAUAUCUUAAAGGAGAUUAAAUGAGGACCGUUGGAUCUUGAGAAUUGAAGGAUUGAGAUUGGAUCUUUGUUUCACUUAAUGAAACAACAUAGUUUAAUC
Molecule: long non-coding RNA, 1759 nt
Filed under: Nicotiana tabacum (common tobacco)
Lineage: Eukaryota; Viridiplantae; Streptophyta; Magnoliopsida; Solanales; Solanaceae
Description: long non-coding RNA (NTAB_LNC004158)
Source: RNAcentral